UUUCAGAUUCUUUUUAUGUAAAUUACACAGAAAUGAAAAGAAAGGUAGUGAAUACUGGCAAGCUGAGAUUGAGUCCAAAUGAAGAAGCCUUUAUUUUGAGAGAAGAUUAUGAAAGAAGACGAAAACUAAGGUUGCUACAGGUUCGAGAACAAGAAAAGGAUAUCGCUUUACAGAUAAGAGAAGACAUAAAGCAGAGGAGAAAUCAGCAGUUUGCUCGUUUGGCAGAGGAGCUAAGGGCAGAAUGGGAAGAAUCGCAAACUCAGAAGAUACAAAACUUAGAAAAACUGUAUUUGGCAAGUUUAAAAAGUAUGGGAGAUGGACAUCGACAGGCCAAAGAAAACGAACCUGAUUUGGAUGCUCUGGCACGGCAGACAGCAGAAAGGAAAAGAAAAGCAGAAAUGAGGCAUAAAGAAGCUUUGAAAGUACAGAAAAAUAAAAAAGAAAUACUAAUGAAAGAAAAAAACUGGCAUAUAAAAGCUCGGAAGGAAGCAUUGCUUGUAGAAAAAGAAAGGUCUGCCAAAAUUUCAAGUCUGCCUCUUCCUCCUCCAGCUCCUUUUGAGAACAUUGAAGUAAAAAGAAUUUCUUCAGUGAAAACCAGCAGUUCUACCUACCAUCAUAUUUCCACUUUUGUGAAUGCACAGAUGGAAACAAAGCAGCCAGAUGCUCAUUUGGCUGCUGAAGAAGAAGCUAAACGAUUGGAAGAACUGCAAAAACAGGCAGCACAAGAGAGAUUGGAACAGUUUGAAAAGGCACAUGUACGGGGUUUCCAAGCCAUGAAAAAGAUCCAUUUGGCACAAACUCAAGAGAAACUAAUGAAAGAACUUAAACAGCUGCAACAAGAAGACCUGGCACGUAGAAAACAGACUGUAGCACAAAUGCCACCACAAGUAGUUGAACUUCCAUACAAACGCAAUGAAAUGAAAGAAGAAUGGCAGAGAGAGCUGGAAUUCGCAUUUGAAGAUAUGUACAAUGCAGACAGGAAGGUGAAAGGAGACCUGGUCUUGCAUCUUGAACCAGAACCUUUGCCCAGUGUGACUGAUCAGAUCCAAGAUGAAGAAUUAGACCUUUCAGUGGACCAAGAAAACAUAGGUGAAGCAGAGGACCUUCCAUUGACAGAAGCUGACAUACGUUCUAGUGAAACAGACGAUUCCUUGGCAAUAAAGACCCAAGAGCUCCCUUCAAAAGUUCUUUUUAAAAAAUUACUAAAUAAGAUUCGAAAUCAAAAAUCUCUCUGGACGAUUAAAUCCAUGUCUGAAGAUGAAAGUGAAAUGAUUACAAACGUUAGUGAAGCUGAGAGUAAAGUACCAACAGUUGAAUCUGGAACAAUUGCCAGUGAGGAAAGAACGCUAUCCACAGAACAAGAACAUGUUAUGGAAAGUGAUUUACUGACAAUUGAGUCUGGACCACUUACAAGUGAAGAUAAGCCACUUUCAUGCCACACAGACUCUGGAAAGGAACAAGAAAUAAAUGAGACUCCACCUGUCACAGCUGUAGCUCAGAGUUCAUUUUUACUUCACCCUCAAGAGGAAGCAGUCAGAGUUAGAAUGUCAGCAAAGCAGAAACAGAUAAUGGAACUAGAAGAGCAAAAGCAAAAGCAGUUGGAAUUACUUGAACAAAUUGAACAACAGAAAUUAAGAUUAGAAACUGACUGCUUCAGGGCUCAGCUGGAAGAAGAAAAAAGAAAAAAACCUCAACCAACUGGGGUUGGCACUGCUCCAGUACCAUUCCCUGUAUUUUCUGAUGAAGAUAGUCGUAGGCAGAUAAUUCGUAACUACCAACAGCAGCUUUUACAACAAAACAGGUUACACAAGCAAUCUGUUGAUACAGCCAGAAGACGAUUACUUGAAUAUCAGAUUUUGUUAAAAGGAAGGUUCCCAUCAACAUCAGCUACAUCAUUGAUAUCUGAUUCCAUUAUAACCGUACCACCACAGAAAUCUGAAAAAUCCACUGCUAUAUCACAACCUUGGGAUCAAAGUCAGAGAUUCAAGUCGAGUCUUAACAAACAUCAACCCAUUCAGAUCUCGAAAUUAGAGCAAGACUAUAUUCAUGUACCAAGACAAAGUCAGUUUGCACAGAUAAAAGAAACAUCAAGCACUUCAGAUUUUUUAGCCAAGCAAUCUUUGGAGUCACAAGAUCACCUAAGGCAAUUCUCUCAGAUUGAAACACAAAAGGGAGACUACAAACUAAUCCCUAAAGGUUUACAUGUGUUUUCAAGUACUUUAUCACAUGAUAGACAGCCACUGUUACAGGACACUGGAAAAAUAUCUGAAACAUUGAGGCCAACAGCAUCUCAAUCUGUAGAUUCCCCCCAAAUAGUGGUAGACAGUGAAAAUAUUUUUUUGAAACUAACUGAACCUUCAUUUCUACCACUGGUACCUGAGCAUUCUUUUACUAUUCUCCCUAGUAAAGUAGAAUCUAGAAGAGUUCAAGAACCCUUUUCAACCGUGAAUAAAAGUGCAGUUUCUGUAAGCCAUUCUGUAAUCCCCAGCCAAAUAUGUGAUCAACCUGUUCCAUCCUCAGCCACUGUCACAACCCAGCAAAAUAAUUUGAAGGUUCUUCAGGAGCAGUUAGAACUACAGAAGGAAGUUCUUCAGGCAAGACAGGAGGCUCAGGAACAAUUGCUUUUGCACAAACAGAAAGAUUUGGAAGAGCAGACUGGUCUUUCUGUAUUCUUCCCUAUGGCUGUGCCAGAUUCCUUUGCUUCACUGCCUUCUGCUAUAACUGAAUCUGGGAGAAUCCAGGAACCUUUUCCAAACAAGAAUGCUCCUUCACUUUUCUCAGGCCAUCCUGUCCUUCCACAUCUUCAAGACAGUCUUUUGAGUUUUUCACAGCCUAUCUUAGCACAACAAAAUAAUUUAAAAUUUCUCCAACAACCAUUAAAUAUUCAAAGAGAUAACCUUCAGGCUAGGCGGGAAGCUCAGGAAGUGUUAUUUGUACAUAAACAGAGUGAACUGGAUGGAAGAGUAUGUUCUGAACAGGCUGAGCCCUCUUCUCUGCCAUGUCAGGUGGCUAAGCAUACAUUGGCUUCACUACCUUUUCCUGACAGAAAAUCUGAACCAAUCCAGAGGCAGCAUUUAUCUAGGGAAAAGGUGCUUCUUUCAAGUAAGUCUGAAAUCCCAAAUUCUCAGAAUGGGUCAUCAGAUUUCCUUCAGCAGUUUCUACCUCAUGAUAAUUUGAAGUUACUCCAAGGACAAGUGACUCCAGAGACAAAUACUCUUCCAGCUAGAUGUGAUACACAAGUGGAAUUACUUUCACAUGGUCAAAGGGAUUUGAGGGACAAUUUGCCUGGACAGAUGAGUUCAUCCUUACAAAUGGUUAUUCAACAUUCAGAUGCCUCACAAACCUUUGCUACUGUUGAACCCAAAAGAGUUCAGAAACUUAGUUCAUUUGAGGAAAAUAUUAUUCCCUGUAGUCAUUUGGUAAUUCCACCAUUUCAAGAUAAGUCUCUUAAUUUCCCACAGCAUAGCCUCCUUCAGCAAGAAAAUUUGAAAAUACUUCAGGAGCAGUCACACAUACAGAGGGUAAUACUUGGUGCUAGACGAGAAAACCAGGAAUUUGUAUGUAAACAAAGUGAAUUGGAAAAAAAGAUUCCUUCUGAACAGACUGGUACCUCUUCAUCUUUACCCCAGAUAGUUGAAUCUGAAAGAUUCAAGGAGUUUGUGUCAGUUCCAAGUGAUGUAAAUGGUUUCUUUAGGUAUUCUAAGAUUCCAAGAUUGCAGGAAGGGCUUUCACACCAUAUGCUACCUCCUCAAGAUAAUUUGGAAGAACACCAAAAAUGGUUAGACACAGAAAAAGAGGUCUUUCAUCUUAAUCAGAAAACCCAAGAAAAUGCAUCGUCUGAACAAACUGGCUUGGCUUCCUUUGUACCCCAAUUAAGACAACUAUCAUUUACGUCAUUACUUUCUGUUGGCUCUAGUACAACCCAGGAUCCUCUUUCAACAGAGAGUGAUAGUAAAAUUCCUUCAAGCCAUUUUCAGAUCCCACAACUGCAGGAUAGACUUUUGAAGAUGUCACAACUUAUCCAGCCCCAACAAGAUAAUUUGAAGGCACUUCAAGAAAAGCUAGCUAUACAGCGGGAGGCCAUAAGUCAAUCUAGACAGGAAGCUCAGGAAAAAAUACUUUUACUUAAACAGAAUGGGUGGAAGGGAAGAGUAUCUCCUGAGCAGGUUGGUACUUUCUUACCCUUAGUAGCACAACAUUCUUUUGCUUCCUUACCUCCUGAAUCUGAGCAAACUCAAGAACUUCCUCCAGCAGGUAAGACAAUUUCAGGUCAUUCGGAAAUACAGAGAUUUCCCAAUAGGCUGUUGAGUUUAUCACAUCCUGUUUUACUUCAAGAAGAUAAUUUGACUGCACUUCAAAAACACAUACCUACACAAACAAAUUCCUCCCCUUCUAUUGAGAAAGCCCAGAAAGAAUUAAUGUUGCCCGGACCAUACAAAUCUGAGGAAGAGAUACUUUCUGAGAAUUUUAUCCAACCUCACCAUGCUGAUUUGAAGUCACUUCAACAGCAAUUAGAUACACAAAAGAAAGCCAUUCGAUCUGGACAGGAAGUCCAAGAAGAACUGCUUUUGCAAAGAUUAAGUCAGUUGGAACAAAGGGUGUCAUCUGAGCAGAUUAGCUCCUCUUCACUUUCAUCCCAGGUGGUAUUGCCUGCUGCCCAUUCUGAAACAAUUGGGAAGUCUUUCCUAACCAAAAGCAAUGAUACUGAGACCCCAGGGUCACAGGCUGGGUCUUUGAGUUUUUCACAGCCUUUGCUAUCCCAGAAAGAUAGCUUGACAGCACAUUCUCUUGAGAAGUGUCAGGCAGAACUGCUUUUAAGCAGGCACAGUAAGUUGGGCAAAAGUGAACCUGUUGAGCAUUCCAUCUCCUCUUCAUUUCUGUCCCAGGAAGCAGAGCAUUCAUUCAUUCCAUUACCAUUUGCAGAAGCUAAAUCUAAAAGUAUUUGUGAGUUGUAUUCAUCUGAAAGUGAACAUGCUCCUAGCUCAAGUGAUUCUAUGAUCUCAUGGUUUCAAGAUAGACUUUUAAGCUACUCACACCCUGUUUUAAAUCAGCCAGAUAACACAGCUUUUCAAAAGCAGUUGGAUCAACAAAGGGAAAUUCUGGAUUAUAGCCAAAAAGCCCAAAAAGAAUUGCUCAUACAGAGAAGAACAGCCCUGCAGCAGCACAUCCAGAAACAUCACGAAACAUUGAAGGAUUUCAUUAAAGACAGCCAGAAGGUGGAACAACUGAGAGAGUGGCUUCCUCUUGUGGAAGACCUAGCAGGAGGCCAUCGGGAAAGCUCUAGUCACGCAGAUAGGAGCAAUGCUGAUGAUAAUCAGCUGCUGGCAGAAGAUGUCAGGUCCACCAAACAAAGUGGUGAGCCUGUGCUCAAAGAACCAGAUAAAAGAGCCUCGAAGCCACCUGUGACAAAAGUUAAAUGUGGAUUGGAUUUAAAUCAACAUGAACUUAGUGCUAUACAAGAAGUAGAAUCACCAAAAAGUGGCAGAACUUCUGUGCCAGGUAAAUCAGAGUUUUGUCAAGAGAGAGACCCCUUGAGAGUCUCGGUAAGCCGAGAACAGAGUUUCCUUGGGAGCCCACAGCCCAGUGAUCCAUUUGAUGAUCUUCAACCAGCUACUCAGGAUCAAGUCUGUGGUGAUGACUACGAUGAUGAAGCAGUCAAGGUGAAGGAAUCUGAUGCUGAGAAUCAUGCCGUGUUAAGUUAUGCUGCAGAGGAGGCAGAUCACAUGUGUCGGGGACAGGCUGUGAGACCAGAUGAUAAGGCUGGAACACAAGAUGUUUCUCAUGAGCCAUUAGCUUCAAUAACUGUUUCUACUGGCAGUUUUUUAAGUUAUGAAAACACAGAUUUGAGCCUUACAGAUCCAGAUCCAUUUUCAGAAUACAUGGGCCAUUCAGAACAAGAACCUGUCACCAGUAAAGAAGAAACAGAUAUUUUAAGUUCUAUAGUUCCUUCAACACAAGUUAUUUAUCAGCAGCAGAACUCUUCAGAUGUCUAUAAAUCUCCGUUGCCUGCAGUAGAAGAAUUUACACCUGGAUACACACAUUGUGAACAGGUCAUAGACAAGGACAUAAAUAAAGCAACUUGGAUACCUGAGAAAACACACUUUCAGGUUGACUUCCCUGAACUAGAACACAUUUUUCCAAAUUUGCAUCAUCAGCUCUUUAAACCAUUAGAACCACAUCCAGAUUUUGACUUAUCAUCAUCAUCCUCUGGGAUUUCUCAAGACAACAGAGAUUUUUACCAGGGCUCAGAUUCUUCAUCUGAAACACCGUGUGCUGGUAUAUCAUCCAGAAGUGCAGUUUCUUUUACAGCAUUGAGGAGGACCAGCUUGCAUUCUUUUAACAUUAGCGUUAACCAGCAACCAGACCCUAACGUGGCUCAUGCUGCUGCUCAGAGUUUUGCUACAGAAACUAUUGAAGGAUCUGAACAAUCUUUUCAACAACUUCUGCCAGAAUUUUCCUCACAGGAGGGGAGCCAGCAUGCUGAUCUGCCAAGUAUUUUUAGCAUUGAAUCAAGAGAUUCUUUUCAAGGCAUGAAAAAUGAGGACCAUCUGUUGGAAAAACAGACUGAAACACUACAAAAUAAGAAAAAAAAUGUUCAUUUCCCCGUGUCUAUAGGAAACUUAAGUUCAGCCUGUAGUUCAUCAGAUGAGACCAAUACAUUUCAUCAGUUACGUGUACAGCAUAGCACUCCGUGUGGUUCUACCUCUAGUGAGUGCUGCAUAAAGCACCAUCUACCAACAGAAAGCAAAGAUGAAAAGGUGAGCUUUGAAGACCUAUCAAAAAGAGACAAUGUUACAAUUUUACAAAGUCAAGGACUCUCUGAAGAUGAUAAAAAUGAAACCUAUCGGAUUUUAGCUAUAAAUCCACACAUAGAAGAAACUGACUCUCAAUUAUGUGUAAGAACAAUAGAAAUGGGAACUUCAGAUCAGACACCACAGUCAUUAAGUAUCCAAAAUGAAAAAUAUUUUGAGAAUUUAAUUGAAACUCCAGAAAUCAUAAAAAAUCUAUCCCAGCCAACAGUGGCUGAGCCCUUUCGAAGUUCUGCAUCAUUUUCACUACGGAACUCUAUUCCUUUCUGGGAGACAGAAUCUGGCCACGGUAUAAUGGAAGAACCAGAACUUACUUUAGUAAGCAACAGUGAUAUCAGUAUUGCUGAAACAGAUUUUGCAAACCUAACCCUUGAAGAAAAGACAGAGAAUGAAACAAAAAGCUGCUUUCAGCCAUGCCAGAGAGCUUACAAGAAGCAUUUGUUAAGAGAAAAAAAUCAUUUAUAGAGAGAUCCUACCAAAGGCAGAAAGAAAUACGGAAUAAAACUCGAGUUUGUGAACAUUCCCAACUCAAAACAGUUAAGGAAAAGCCAUCUACAGGUAAAGGUAUGUUCAAAGUAUUGAUCUUCAAUGGAUCAAAGGAUCAAAUCUAAGGUUCCAGCCUCUUUGCUUUACUAUGAGUUAUCCAGUUAUCUGUGAGUAUACAGGCUGCCUCUGGGAGCUUAGCUAAUUGUGCUGAUAUUUUUUUUUUUUUUGGUUUUGAAUUUCCACCAACAGUGAAUGCCCAUGUUUCAAUAAUGAUCUCAUUUAAGUGAGGUAAAAAAAAAAAGGGUAUCUGGAUAGGAGACAAGGGGAUGGAGGGAGGUGUGGAGGAAGGGGAAGUAGGGCACAGAAACUAAGGAAGAUUUGGAUGUAGGGUCUGAAGGAGAGGUGUUACAAAAGGAAAAAAAAAACACUUGUUCUUUUCUCAGGUUCCUUAAUAAGUGGCCUCAAGGCUGUGAAUAAAGUUAAGGUGUGUUUUCCUGAAGACAGAAGGAUGGCACAAGCCCUAAUGCACAAAAGGGCUCUAAGGUUAUACAAUCAGUUAUCUGAAGUACAACAACAAAAGGAAGAGAAAGCAAAGCAAGAAGCUUAUGCUCAAAACAGAGCAAAGGCAAAAGAAUUUCAUAAG
Molecule: RNA transcript, 7938 nt
Organism: Cavia porcellus (domestic guinea pig)
Lineage: Eukaryota; Metazoa; Chordata; Mammalia; Rodentia; Caviidae
Gene: Cep295
Gene name: centrosomal protein 295
Exons: 26
Source: RefSeq, a predicted model, not a curated record